GUUCCAGGAAUAGCGACUUUAACAGAAAGCUGGCAGACUGAGAAGACGGCAGACUAGGGUCUCAAAAAACCACCUUCCCUCAGUCCCAAUUCUGCUCCUUUUAUACAGAAGACGGGAGGGGGCAGAGCCCACAGCGGUGCCGACCAAUGGCUGAGCAGGACUGCUAAGGUCACUCCCUAACUGUCGCUCGCUUGGGUGAGCGACCCACUGCGAUGCUGGCCAGUGGCUGAGCAGGAAUCCCUAACAGCGGCUCACUAACAGCUGUGCAUCUGCCCCGGGCCCAUUACAAGAAAAAGGAGAGAGAUGAAUAACGCAACUUCCUCAACCUUCUCUUAAGAAAGGAAGAGUGAGAUAAGCAGAAACUCAGGGAGGAAGAAAUCACAGGCCAGAUUUUGGCUCCAGCCAAAAGCACGUUGUCCAGUCCAGCUUCCACCAGAGGGGAACGACAUUUGCAUUAAAAUUCAAGAGAGAUGAAGUCUGCCAUCGAUCUUGACUUCCUCGUGGACCUCUUGUGCUGAGGGAAAGAUGAUUUAGAGAAUGUCAAGAGUCUUGGAACAACCAUAAUGAGAGAGGGGGAAAAAAAUCACUUCAAACUUACACACCAAUGCUAACAUCAGAAUACUUCCAAACCCCUGCAGUGUGGAGGCUGCAUUAAAGAAUCUUGCUAAGGAUACUUCUGAAGUUUUAAAAAGUCCACUGGCCUGAGAAUUCCAGCUCUCCCUCACUGUUUUGGUAUGAUCAUUAGAUGCCCCUGGUACAGGUAAGCCUCAUCUCCAGUCUGGGGCUGUUAACUACCUCUAACCAUCCAGGAAGGCCAAGGCCAUCCUUACAGGCAUCAGUGGAUCCUCAGUGCUAGAGGCCUGUUACGCAGGACUCCUCCCCGAUUCUGAAAGAGAAAUAAGAGAAGGGGAGGGGUAGCUUGAAGAAAAUAAAAAGUAAAAGAGAGAAAGCAAAGCGCUAUGUUUUUCUGUGGCUGGUACUCUGGGUUUUAGUCUGCUAAACACAGUGGCUUGACCUGGUUACUUUAAGGCUUUCAAAUCUGAAUACAACAUCCUACACAAACACAUAACCCAGACAGAUGCAUAUACACAUACCUUCACAAAGACUCUUUCAGAACUGAAAAUACUAAGACAAAUCAAAAGGGAAUUAAUUUCACCAUUGUUGCCAUUUUUUUGUUUGUUUGUUUUGUUUUUGAUGUAAGUCAGGGGCAGGAGCACUAUGGAAUUUCCAGAUGAUACAAUAUACCCAUUAGAAAAUGGCAUGCACAGAAAAUUGGAACCAGAAAUGACCUUGGAAAUCAUCUAACUCCGUUUUCUCAAUCUGCAGAUGAAGAAAUCAAGCUCUCAAGAAAUAAAGUCAUUUGUUCAGAGUCAGGGAAAGGCUCAAAGUUAAAGUUGGAAUUAGGACCCCCAAAAUCUCUAAAAAUCUGCCUCACUUGCCACUCUGAACUGCUGUAAUCAUUUGCUCAGUUUAGGAGCUGAAAGCUGAAGCUGCCUUCCUGAUCCUGGUGUUGUAUUGGGGUAUUUGUGAAGAACUCGGCUGCUCAGGUAUAAACACAUUUUGUGGUUUCCACACCUCUUGUGUUUAAUAUGCUGCACGAUAACUGAAAGACUUUUUAAAAGACUUUGAAAGAAAUUUAGUUGAUACGUUCUUUAUUUCCAGUGUUCUGUACUUUCAUUUUUAAAUUCUCUUUCUUUCUCUACAUCCCCUUGCCUUGGCCCCAGUUUCACUGAGGAGUCAUUUAUGAAACUUUAAGUUUUAGUAACUUAAAGCCAUUGUCAGAAAACACAGGAAAAUCAGUUAGAAGGAACCCCAUUAGCCAUGCCUCCAAGUCCUGUUAAAUUAUGAGCUUGUUGCUGUUCACUGUUUAAUUCCAUAAGAUCACCCUUCUAUCACUCAACUUGGACAGAAACUUAGGGAGACAAUAGACAAUCUUGGCAAAAACUGAAGAGAAACUGUUGUUGGGGGGUGGGGGUGGGAAAUGGAUGUAGCUGAUAAAUUACAGGGCUGCCUAUUCAGUCAUGGGAAUGAAAACAUUUCUCUGGAUCAAUGUAUGAAAAGGAUUUUUAAUAGGAUGGGAGAAGUCAUUUGAACACCUGUUUCCUUGGCAAUUGAAUGCACUGGUGCCAAUCACUUAGCCUGGAUCUACUCUCCUAGCAGAAAAUGACCUCAUCUCUUAUUCUUUGAGGAUUGAAGCAGCAGAACAGUAUCUAUUUUAACAGGACUGGGAGCAAUAAGCAGGGCAUUGACAGCUAGGAAAGUUUGUCUUAGAAAGUCUGACCUGAGGCAGUGGGGAAUCGGAGCCAGGAGAGGGAGAAGGAGAGAGGCUGUGAGCUUGUGUGGACACCGGCACAUGAAACGAGAAGCACAGGACAUAAAACUGUGAAUCAGAGGCAAACUCAUCUCACCCUGGAAGUUUCUAAGCCUAGAGUCAUAAAUGCCUCUUCAUCUCGCAACCCAUUCUGGUCAUGGAGAAGUUCCUUUUGAAGGGUAGCUGUCUGUGUUGACUUUGUUAAGGUAGAAGUUCAAGCUCAUUUAUGAGGAUAGAAGGAUUCAAAGUACCCUCAGCAGGGCUCAGCUCUGAGCUUCACACGUACCCCAUGGAAGGGCUCCCCUUAUCCAGGACCAAGCAAUGAAAUGUUAAUAUAAGUGUGUUUCUUUGCAUUUCUCCAAAAACUUUAGGUUUCCUCCAUGCAACUGUGUCACGACUGUGUUUUUAUCAGAGACUCUCACUGGGCGUGGUUUUAUCCUCUUCCAUGUACCUGAACCUGGAGAAGGAAAUGGCAGCCCACUCCAGUAUUCUUGCCUGGAGAAGCUCAUGGACAGAGGAGCCUGGUGGGCUACAGUCCAUGGCAUUGCAAGAGUUGGACAUGACUUAGCAACUAAACCAUGUGCCCGAACCAGCACUGUGGCUUCAAAGAACACAAUAUUAUGAUUAUCUUGGUCUCUGAAAUGUAUUACCCAUGGUUUCUUUUAGCUUUUCUCUUUCCCCAGGGAUGAACAACGCAUCUAGGAUACAUUUCUAAAAAGCUUACAACUUUUCUUAAAAUAAAACUCAGCCUCUUUACUGUAUCCCAAAUUUCUGUUUGAUUCUUGACAUAGUCCAUAAGAACCUCUUCAAUUAGAUACCAAUAUCCUGCAGGACUCCCAGGGGUACAUCUCACACAGGUUUCUUUCCCCACAUUGGACAGUUCAGGGAGAGAGACCACAGACCUACUGUAAAAUGGGGGGAAAUAUUUGGUGCUGGAAAAGACUCUUGAGAGUCCCUUGGAUGC
This is a non-coding RNA of Odocoileus virginianus texanus, 3275 nucleotides long. NCBI's taxonomy places the organism in Eukaryota, Metazoa, Chordata, Mammalia, Artiodactyla, Cervidae. The record is from RefSeq and is a predicted model, not a curated record.